RNAcentral lists this ribosomal RNA (546 nucleotides) under Isolapotamon sp. NGI1. RNAcentral's name for it is "partial 16S rRNA". It matches the Rfam family "Bacterial large subunit ribosomal RNA", at positions 1829 to 2625 of the family's 2925-position model. Lineage: Eukaryota; Metazoa; Arthropoda; Malacostraca; Decapoda; Potamidae. The record is from RNAcentral.
GUCUGUUUGGAGAUAUAAAGAGUCUAACCUGCCCAAUGAAAAUUGUAAAUUUAAAGGCCGCGGUAUUUUAACCGUGCAAAGGUAGCAUAAUCAUUAGGUUUUUAAUUGAGAUCUUGUAUGAAAGGUUGAACAAAAGAGAAGCUGUCUCUAUAUUAAAAUUAAAAUUUAACUUUUAAGUGAAAAGGCUUAAAUAAUUUAAAAAGACGAUAAGACCCUAUAAAACUUUACAUUUAAAUUUUAUUAAUUUGAAGUUAAAUAUAAAAAUUUAGUUAAAUUAUUUGUUUUGUUGGGGUGACAUAGGUAAAAGUGUUGUUAACUGCUUGGAAUUAGAGACAAUUAUUUGUGGAGAGUUAAAAGAGCCUUUAUAGAGAUUUAAAGAUUAAGUUACUUUAGGGAUAACAGCGUAAUUUUUUUUGAGAGUUCUUAUCGAAAAAAAAGUUUACGACCUCGAUGUUGAAUUAAAGUAUCUAUAUAAUGCAGAAGUUAUAUAAGAAGGUCUGUUCGACCUUUAAAAUUUUACAUGAUUUGAGUUCAAACCGGCGUGAG